This is a non-coding RNA of Ornithorhynchus anatinus (platypus), 138 nucleotides long. The record is from Rfam. NCBI's taxonomy places the organism in Eukaryota, Metazoa, Chordata, Mammalia, Monotremata, Ornithorhynchidae.
CCCCUCUCAGGGUCGCUCCUGGAGAGUUUCCAGUCCUCUACCAGUCUCGGCUAUGGGAGGGAGAGUCAAGCAGAGGCCUGCCCAUUCCAUUCCUGGCUUGGCCAGUGGCUAACCAGUGGAAUGCAGUCUGCUACAAGU